AAGUGCACAGCUUUGUGGUUGAUGGUUGCCCUGCACACAGGAGAUCAGCUGUCCUGCUAUCAGUGUUCAUGCCAGGGUCUGGCCAUGCCCUCUCUGCAGUAGUUUCAGCUCUUCCCCUGCAUUCUCCUGAUACUGGAACACAAUUGCUUUCGGCGCUCUUUGUGCACAGCCGCGGGAGGAGGCGUGUUCGGAGCCCCAGCUCCCUUCCCCGGGAUGCCGAGGAGACACCACCUCCACCAUCGUGACGCCAGUUGUCUCACAAGAAGUUCCUGGCAUGGUCUCGUACAAGACAGGGUCCCCCACUGAAAUGAGGGUGAGCUGCACUACGUGGAGUGAUGGCUGAGCUUACCCAGCAUUAGGCUGUUCCAGUCUGCUGCCUCACACACAAGAAGUCCAGAAUUUGGUGAGCUUUCACAUAUAUAUAUAUUUUUUUUAACACUUUUAAAAGAAGCCCAUAGGAAUACAAUUUAAAAUAAACUGUAGGCAUAAUUUUUUGGUGG
This 500-nucleotide long non-coding RNA is filed under the name Calidris pugnax (ruff). Its description in RNAcentral is "lncRNA (ENSCPUG00000016789.1)". The record is from RNAcentral. Lineage: Eukaryota; Metazoa; Chordata; Aves; Charadriiformes; Scolopacidae.